RNAcentral lists this ribosomal RNA (728 nucleotides) under Paenibacillus sp. AS5(13). RNAcentral's name for it is "bacterial SSU rRNA". It matches the Rfam family "Bacterial small subunit ribosomal RNA", at positions 55 to 762 of the family's 1533-position model. Lineage: Bacteria; Bacillati; Bacillota; Bacilli; Caryophanales; Paenibacillaceae. The record is from RNAcentral.
AUGCAAGUCGAGCGGAGUUGAUGAGGUGCUUGCACCUCUGAUACUUAGCGGCGGACGGGUGAGUAACACGUGGGUAACCUGCCUGUAAGACUGGGAUAACAUUCGGAAACGAAUGCUAAUACCGGAUACGCGAUAUGGUCGCAUGACUGAAUCGGGAAAGAUGGAGCAAUCUAUCACUUAUAGAUGGACCCGCGGCGCAUUAGCUAGUUGGUGAGGUAACGGCUCACCAAGGCGACGAUGCGUAGCCGACCUGAGAGGGUGAUCGGCCACACUGGGACUGAGACACGGCCCAGACUCCUACGGGAGGCAGCAGUAGGGAAUCUUCCGCAAUGGACGAAAGUCUGACGGAGCAACGCCGCGUGAGUGAUGAAGGUUUUCGGAUCGUAAAGCUCUGUUGCCAGGGAAGAAUGCUUGGGAGAGUAACUGCUCCCAAGGUGACGGUACCUGAGAAGAAAGCCCCGGCUAACUACGUGCCAGCAGCCGCGGUAAUACGUAGGGGGCAAGCGUUGUCCGGAAUUAUUGGGCGUAAAGCGCGCGCAGGCGGCCUUGUAAGUCUGUUGUUUAAACUUGGGGCUCAACCCCAAGUCGCAAGGGAAACUGCAAAGCUUGAGUACAGAAGAGGAAAGUGGAAUUCCACGUGUAGCGGUGAAAUGCGUAGAGAUGUGGAGGAACACCAGUGGCGAAAGGCGACUUUCUGGGCUGUAACUGACGCUGAGGCGCGAAAGCGU